CGCGGAGCCAUGGAGCCACGCUGCCGAAGGGCGCGCAACCAACGCGGUAAAGUUUUAAUCCCCGAGGUGGUUUUGUCAGUCAUGGUUCGCAAACACCUCUUUUCGCUCAAGUGACCAGACAUCAUGGGCUGUGGUACCAGGCAAGGGAGGAGUAGGCGGUCCUGCCCACCUGGGCAGCUCCUCCAGUUAGCGCCAACCCUGAGCCCCAUUCCUGAGGAUGUUUCCAAAACCUCACGUGCAGUGGCUGUUUUUGAAUCAGAAGAAAGGAAGAAGCUAAGGCCCUCGGUGUAUAACAGGACUACACAAGCAGCCAGAGCAAUAAGAAGUAUGAGCAAAAAGGCACACCCACCGCAUUUCAGGCUCAACGGAUAGAGAAAGCCC
Long non-coding RNA from Gallus gallus (chicken), 381 nucleotides. NCBI's taxonomy places the organism in Eukaryota, Metazoa, Chordata, Aves, Galliformes, Phasianidae. The record is from Ensembl.